Long non-coding RNA from Malaclemys terrapin pileata, 440 nucleotides. RefSeq lists it as uncharacterized. Lineage: Eukaryota; Metazoa; Chordata; Testudines; Emydidae. The transcript is spliced from 3 exons. The record is from RefSeq and is a predicted model, not a curated record.
CCCAUGGCAGAGGCUGCAAUGCCACACUCAGGCACCUAAAUAAAUGGCCUGACCUUUCUCAAAUGCUGAAUACCAAGAACUCCUCACUCGAAUCUGCCGAAGCCGUGGCUGUUCAGCUCCUCUGAAAAUCAAUCCACUCGUUUAGAUGCCUGAAUAUGAAUGUUAGUGCCAGACUUUGGACAGUGACAUAGGAAGAUAUUGGCCUGAGCCUAUGCAUGGACUCUCAUCCUACAAUCCAGCCCCUCAACAGAUACAUCCCAGCUUCUGACUGUGAGCCAUUCAGCUACAAUGGGGAGGCCUAGAUGCUAGGCCCACAUGAGAGAGGGAAGGAUUUCAGGCCCAAGGCCCAAGUGGGGCAGGAAGAAGCACACACUCACCUCAGUUGCCUUCUUUGCUGAGGGCGCACUGUCCAGCACACCGGCAGACAGACCCAGAUCAGA